Bubalus bubalis (water buffalo) is the source of this 4506-nucleotide long non-coding RNA. RefSeq lists it as uncharacterized. The transcript has 6 exons. NCBI's taxonomy places the organism in Eukaryota, Metazoa, Chordata, Mammalia, Artiodactyla, Bovidae. The record is from RefSeq and is a predicted model, not a curated record.
CCCACUCCAGUGUUCUUGCCUGGAGAAUCCCAGGGACGGGGGAGCCUGGUGGGCCGCCGUCUAUGGGGUCGCACAGAGUCGGAAACGACUGAAGCGACUUAGCAGCAGCAGCAGCAAGCUGGGUGUUGGUUACAGCAUCUCCCUGUGAGAUGGGAUCAUCAUACCCAUUUCAGAGGGCAGGAAAGUGAGGCUUCAGAGGUUAGGUAAAGAGCCCAGGCUUAGCUAGAAAUGGGGGCAGUGGGAUUUAAGUGGUAAAAUGCUGUGAAAGGAAAAUGGCAUCAUUUUGGGGUUAUGAUCUUUGGAGUAGAAAAUAAAACUUUAGAGCUUCCCUGGUAGCUCAGUGGUAAAGAACCUGCCGGCUAAUGCAGGAGACAUGGGUUCCAUCCCUGAUCUGGGAAGAUCCCACAUGCCAUGGAGCAUCUAAGCCCAUGUGCCACAACUACUGAGCUUGUGCUGUAGAGCCUUCGAGCUGCAGUGACUGAAACUCAUUUAUCUAGAACCUGUGCUCCUCAACACAAGAAACCAUUGCGAUGAGAAGUCCACAUACCACUAGAGAGUGGUUCCCACUCACUGCACCUAGAGAACAGCCCGUGUAGCAACAAAGACCCAGCGAGCCAAAUAAAUAAAUACAUAAAAUUAUUUUAAGAAAAAACAAAAAUUUAAAUCCCAAUUUUGUACUUGCCAAGCACUUCAUAUUUAUUAUUUUUGUUACUCUUUUCAAAUAAUCCUAUAAAGUAAUUUCCCCCUGUUUUGCACCUGAGAAACGGGUUCCUCAGGAAGGGGAAGGUUUGUAUGAAAAUCUACUCAGGGAAUAGGUGCUGGAGCUAGGCUCUGAAUCCAGUCUGGCUGUUCCCAGGGCUAGUAUUCUUUGGAAUCUCGCUUCCUGGAACCGAUUCCAGGGGCCUCUUUGAGGGCACAGGACUCUUCUCUGGGCCCAGGGCUUUUUUUUUUGCUGUCUCUUGAUUCUCAGAGUGGAGCUAACAUUUUCGGUAAACCAGUCCCAGGUGCCCAGGCCCAGAUCCAGGACGAUUUCGUGGGAAAGGCUGCCACCUUGUGGCCAGACAGCGAGCAUGUACCAGGAGGAAGCAAGGGUUUAGGAGGGUGGGGCUUGGGCAACAGGUGAGGUCAGUCUCUGGAAAGACUCCAGCUGGUGCAGACUUGGUUUUGGAGGGCUGCCCCGCAGUUGGAGGGCCAGCUUGGGCCUCAGAGGGAGGGUUCAGGCUUCCCAGCAGCGUCAGGAUGGAUGGUGAGGCUUGGCUGUGGGCACACUGGAUCAGAAUUUUCCUGCAAAGUCCUGACGUGAGCCCAUCAGAGGAAUCCUGAAGGUAAGCCUAGGUUAGACUUCUCCUUCAGCCCUUCUGAGGCACUGGUUCUUUUAGCUGUGUGGAGAGGCCAUGUUGGUGUCUGUGACACUUUCCCUGCAGGACACCCUCUGAGCUUCUGGACUGAAUCCUGCCUGAGCUCGACCCUGUACCGACACUGUCCCCAGCUCUGAGGGAGAUACAGAGCCUCCUCCUUCCUCCAAAACCUAAUCCUGUGUCUCCUCGUCAUCUGGGCUGUUACACGGGGGCUGAUGCAGCCUCCCAGACUCAGUUCUUUCUGCUUCUCUCCUCUCUCCACUUUGCUAGUCAAAGGAUUUCCUAGUAAUAUUUUUCACCAGGUGCAAGAGCCUUGCGCUUCCCUGGUGGCUGAGACAGUAAAGAAUCCGCUUGCCAAGCAGGAGACGCGGAUUCAAUCCUGGAGUCGGGAAGAUCCCCUGGAGAAGGGAAUGGCAACCCACUCCAGUAUUCUUGCCUGGGGAAUUCCAAGGACAGAGGAGCCUGGUGAGCUACAGUCCAUUGAGUCGCAAAGAGUCAGACACGUCUUAACUACUAAACAACAAGAGCCCCACUGCACACUCCUCGCAGUAUGGAAGAGGACGUUGGGUUUCUUAGCCUGGUCUUCCUUCCUGCCUCACUCUGACAUCGAUGUCUGAGGCCAGGUACCUCCUGUUAAGGCUCCAAUCAGUACUUCUCCCCUGGCUGCAGGUUCGCAUCACCUGGGAACUUCAGAAUCGGCCCCUGGCAGCCACGCCCCCUCAAGAUCCUGCUCUGAUUGGUCUGGGCCCUGGAGGUUGUGGGCGUGUUCAGAGAGCUCCACAUGGCUGGGAGGGUCCUCGUGCGUAGCCAUUGCUCUGUCCUUUGGCAAGUUCUCCGCGGUCAGCUUAUGACUUUCUUCUCACUCCUGGAACCUAUUUCUUAGUCCGGGUAGCCCUCUCACCUUCUCUUCCCCACGUUCUCGUCCCUUCCAAGCUUCUGACGGUGCCCGGGAAGACCCUGUGCUUGGUGACUGGGAAUGUCGACGAACGACUGAAUGGACAGCCAGACUCCAUGUUGCUGAGAUCUCCGAGCCUUUCCGAAAAGCCGUGAGCAGCGUCCUGAGAUUCUGAGGAGGAGGAAGAAGGUGGAGCCAAAGAUGGAAGGAGCCUGGGGCGCCCACUGGGGCAGAGCCAUUCCUACUGCUGGCCCACAGUGGACAACUAUACAAAGGGCAGACUUUGGGAAGUAGUUUCCCCAUGUGGAAUCUCCCUCCAGAAUGUUUUGAUCUCACCAAGCACACGCCUGUCACAAGGAGGCUCGUAAAAAACCCCGAGAAAAGGAAACGCUGUCGUCAAAAUGGCCCUGCUGGGCCCAUAACGGAUGACUCUAACUUAGCUUGAGGGGCAGCGUGGGGAGCCGGUGAAUCGAGAAACUGCAAAGAAGAAAUUAACACUGAGCUGGGUCCCCUCCCGGAAGUGGCACUGAAGCACAGGAGGAGAGACCUCAGUUAGACUUAGAGCAGAACCCUUGCCUCUUCUGCUUUAAGUCUGGGAAACCCUGAAAAGAUUCGUGAGGGAGGAGGGGGAGAGAGUCUCCUUGUCUGGCAGCAUUGAAAAGCAGAACUCCCCGCUUGGAGAGUUGAGCUGUUCACCCACCCAGAGGAGAAGCCUGGCCUGGUUGACAUCUUCAUUUCCUUUCUGGGUCAGUCCUCUAGGAUUUAAAAAGCAGCUCUCCCCAGCUCCCAUACAACAUGACUCUGUGCUACGUUGGGAUCAGGGCUGGAGCAGACAGAACAACUUGCUAUCAAUUUAAUGUUAGCUUAAAUAAUGCAUAAUUAGAAGGUUAAGCCUCUGCAAACACGUUAAAUAAUGUAUUCCCCAAGCAAACACGAUUUGGUGAUGAUGUGCUAUUUUGGAUGGUGGUGAGGUGGAAAGGUGGAAGAGACCUGGAUCUGAGCUGCAUUGUUGAUAUGGAUCGUUUUUGUCAUUAUAAAGUAGAACCUUCCCUGGUCAUGCCGUGGUUUCCUUAUCUGUCAUGGCCUGUGAACUUCUGGUGGGUAGAGGCUUUAGCUUAAGUUUCUCAGAGUCUCUAUUAUUUUGGAAAGUGCUUGGUGCUUGACAAGCAUUUGUGAGUAAGGGGACGGAAUUAGACUGGGUAUAAGCGUGUUAGAUCUGGGCUCUAACGUGAAAAACUGAGACAAGAAAAUGUGAGCAGGACACUUGUGACCUCCAAAUAUCUGAAAGGCUGUCUUCAUUCUAAACAGUGAUAGUCAUUCUGGGAGGAACCCUCGAGUCCUGGAAUGAACACAGAUGAGAGGGGGUGGAUUUUCAGGAUGUCAAUUUAAAAUCACAUCCAUUAGUUGAGCAUUUCCUGAGCACCUACUAUGUAUGCUUGUUGAUGUGAUCCAUACUUAAAAUAGAGCAGAACAGUUAGGGCCCCUGCCCUUGUGAGCUUACAGGUCAGAGGAGGAUAAAGACAUACAAACCGACAGUGGAACACGUGUGUGGUUGUGAGCGGAAACACAGGAAGGCACUAUGGAACGGAGGAGGGACAGACUCAGAACUGAGCUGACAAGGACAGCAGCCCAGAGAACGUGCUGCCUCGGGUGUGGGGUCGGGGUCCCAGAGUAUGAGAGUUCAACAGGUGAGGGCAGGAGGUGGGUUAGGGAGAAUAUUCCAGAUGCAGUGGUCAGGAAGUGGAAGCUUGAGUGGUUAGCAGGGGCCCUGCGCGGGUGUCAGAGAACUUCACUUCUGAUGGAGGUGGAGGCAGGUGGUCCCUGGGGAGGCAUGUGGCACAGAGGACAGGUGUCUGAUGUGGAGGCUCAGCCUAGAUGACCUGAAUGGGGCUUGUACUUGUCAUCCUUCAACCUGAACUUCUGGAUGUCGAGUAUGCCGUAUGUCUCUUUAGCCUCUAAGAAGAAAGGAAGACGGUGCAGCCUAUGGAUGAAUGCUCCUUUGCAUUCAACAGUGGGAAGAUACUGCAGCUUGCAACUCUACAGAUACCAGCAGAGGAAGAAAAACAUGGGCGACUGCUGAUAACCUAAUGUGGAGAAUUAAACCCCAACUAAACAAAGGAAGCCUUCCCUGAUGCCUGCAGGGUGGAUGAGAGCUCCUCCUCUGUGAUCCCACCAAGCCCUGGAUGCUCCUCCAGCUUCUCGCUCAACCCACUGGAUUAUCCUGAGUUCAUCUGUUCUACCAGACUGUCAACU